GCUGCUGUAGCUCAGCGGUAGAGCACUCCAUUGGUAAUGGAGAGGUCGGGAGUUCGAUUCUCCCCAGCAGCACCA
RNAcentral lists this transfer RNA (75 nucleotides) under Paracoccaceae bacterium. Its description in RNAcentral is "Rhodobacteraceae bacterium (subsurface metagenome) tRNA-Thr". It matches the Rfam family "tRNA". Rfam says of the family: Transfer RNA (tRNA) molecules are approximately 80 nucleotides in length. Their secondary structure includes four short double-helical elements and three loops (D, anti-codon, and T loops). Lineage: Bacteria; Pseudomonadati; Pseudomonadota; Alphaproteobacteria; Rhodobacterales; Paracoccaceae. The record is from RNAcentral.